ACGUAGCUCGCAUUAGGGAUGGAAGUGGCAUCCCACGCUUUUUUAAGCGUGGAUAUAGCGGACAGCCCGACCCGCC
RNAcentral lists this small RNA (76 nucleotides) under Flavobacterium degerlachei. Its description in RNAcentral is "Flavo-1 RNA". It matches the Rfam family "Flavo-1 RNA". Lineage: Bacteria; Pseudomonadati; Bacteroidota; Flavobacteriia; Flavobacteriales; Flavobacteriaceae. The record is from RNAcentral.